RNAcentral lists this unclassified non-coding RNA (395 nucleotides) under soil metagenome. RNAcentral's name for it is "partial contains 5.8S ribosomal RNA, internal transcribed spacer 2, and large subunit ribosomal RNA". The stretch from base 1 to 122 matches the Rfam family "5.8S ribosomal RNA", at positions 35 to 154 of the family's 154-position model. The record is from RNAcentral.
GAUGAAGAACGCAGCGAAAUGCGAUACUUGGUGUGAAUUGCAGAAUCCCGUGAACCAUCGAGUCUUUGAACGCAAGUUGCGCCCGAAGCCAUCAGGUUGAGGGCACGUCUGCCUGGGCGUCACAUAUCGUUGCCCAAUGCCUAUUGCAGUGCAAUAGGAAUUUCUAGGGCGAAUGAUGGCUUCCCGUGAGCGUUGUUGCCUCGCGAUUGGUUGAAAAUCGAGUCCUUGGUAGGGUGUGCCAUGGUAGAUGGUGGUCGAGUUAGAACGAUACCGAUCAUGUGCAUGCUCCCCAAAAUAUGGCCUCUAUGACCCACACGCGUCUUUUGACGCUCAUGACGAGACCUCAGGUCAGGCGGGGCUACCCGCUGAAUUUAAGCAUAUCAAUAAGCGGAGGA